CCGGGGUGAGUAUUACAUCAGGUACUGUUGUGAUUAAAAAAUCCGGACAUCAACCGGCCGACUAUCAGUACUUGUGUUAUACUCUUCCCGU
This 91-nucleotide microRNA precursor is filed under the name Anopheles dirus. Its description in RNAcentral is "microRNA mir-12". It matches the Rfam family "mir-12 microRNA precursor family". Lineage: Eukaryota; Metazoa; Arthropoda; Insecta; Diptera; Culicidae. The record is from RNAcentral.